GGGGGGAAAAUUAAUAAUUUAUAAGUAAUAAAAGUAUUUUUUAUAUUAAAAUUGGGGGGUUUUAGUAUUAAUAAAGAAAAAAUUAUAAAUUUUAUAGUGAAUUAGUAUUUUAUAAUAAAUUUGAAAUAAUUUUGAAAAUAAAUUUAAUUAAAAGUAAAUUUAAUUUAUUGUAUCUUGUGUAUCAGAGUUUAUUAAAAAUAAUUUUGGUUAAAAUAUUUCUCGAAUUUAAAAGAGAUAAUUAAUUAAUAAAGUUAUUGUUGCAUAAAUAUUUUUAAUAAUUAAUUUGAAAUGAAAUGUUAAUCGUUUUUAAAUAUAUCUAGUUUUUUUAGAAAAAAAUUUAAUUUUAAUUUUUUUUUAAUAAAUUAUUAAUUAAUUAAUAAUUUAUAAAAAAAAAUUUAUAUUUUAAGGGAUAAGCUUUAAAUUAAAAUUAUUAUAAAUAUUAUUAAAAUAAUUAAAAAUUUUAAAAUUUAUAUUGUUUACAAUUUUUAAUUUUUUAUAAAUUAAUUUUAAUUUAAUUAAAAUUUUAAUAAAAAUUAAUUUUUUAUAAAAAAUUAAUUUUUAAUUUAAAUAAAUAAAUUAUAAUGAUAAAAUUAGUAUUUAUUAAUAAAAAAUAAUUAUUUUUAAAAAAUAUAAAUAUAAGGAAUUCGGCAAAUUUAUAUAUUCACUUGUUUAUCAAAAACAUGUCUUUUUGAAAAUAAUUUAAAGUCUAAUCUGCCCACUGAUAAUUUAUUAAAGGGCUGCAGUAUAUUGACUGUACAAAGGUAGCAUAAUCAAUAGUCUCUUAAUUGGUGACUUGUAUGAAAGAUUGGAUGAAAUAUAAUCUGUCUCAUUUUUAUAUAAAGAAAUUAAUUUUUUAAUUAAAAAGUUAAAAUGAAUUUAAAAGACGAGAAGACCCUAUAGAGUUUAAUAAUUUAUUUAAUUAAAAUUAUUUAUAAAAAUAAUAAUUAAAAUUAAUAUUAUUAUUUUGUUGGGGGGAUAAAAAAAUAAAAAAAACUUUUUUUUAAAAAAAAAUCAUUAAUAAGUGAAUAAAUGAUCCAAAAUUAUUUUGAUUAUAAGAAAAAAUUACCUUAGGGAUAACAGCGUAAUUUUUUUUUUUAGUUCAUAUAAAAAAAAAAGUUUGCGACCUCGAUGUUGGAUUAAGAUAAAAUUUAUAUGCAAAAGUUUAAAAUUUUGAUCUGUUCGAUCAUUAAAAUCUUACAUGAUCUGAGUUCAAACCGGUGUAAGCCAGGUUGGUUUCUAUCUUUAAAAAAUUAAAAUAUUUUAGUACGAAAGGAAUAAAUAUUUAAAUUAAAUUUAAAUUAUUGAAUUUUAUUAAUUUAUUUAUAUAAUAUAUUUUAAAUUGU
This 1343-nucleotide ribosomal RNA is filed under the name Pycnarmon lactiferalis. RNAcentral's name for it is "16S ribosomal RNA". The record is from RNAcentral. Lineage: Eukaryota; Metazoa; Arthropoda; Insecta; Lepidoptera; Crambidae.